Molecule: long non-coding RNA, 291 nt
Filed under: Solanum tuberosum (potato)
Lineage: Eukaryota; Viridiplantae; Streptophyta; Magnoliopsida; Solanales; Solanaceae
Description: long non-coding RNA (STUB_LNC001319)
Source: RNAcentral
CAUGUGCCUUCUCGCAUAGAAUCCCUUUCAAGUCCGUGUCAAGCCCAUUCUUAGAAUUUUCAAUUAAGCCAUACAUGUUGCAUAAACCUUAGGUGGUUUGACCCUUGGUGUCAAUCCACACAAUUAGUAGCCACCCUAUUGUCUAAAGGGCCCCAACACCCUUAGACAAAUUGCAUAUUAUCUGUCAAUGUGGUCAUGAUAAUUAAAUUAAGCCAAAUUUGCCAACAUGGAGUUCAGAUUUUGUUUGUUGUUUGUUUGCAGAGUCAUGACCGCUCCCAACUUCCCCAACAC